This 881-nucleotide ribosomal RNA is filed under the name uncultured Tulasnellaceae. RNAcentral's name for it is "eukaryotic LSU rRNA". The stretch from base 358 to 517 matches the Rfam family "5.8S ribosomal RNA". The record is from RNAcentral. Lineage: Eukaryota; Fungi; Basidiomycota; Agaricomycetes; Cantharellales; Tulasnellaceae.
ACAAGUCGUAACAAGGUUUCCGUAGGUGAACUGCGGAAGGAUCAGUCGUGUAUUGGAUUUGGAGGUUGAUGCGGUUAUCCAUUGCUGCUCCCUCCGCUUUCAUGAUCAAUCACCGUGCCAGUCACGUAAAGCGGUGAGAGUGUCAUCCUCCACCAUCAUGUGUUGUUCUUUUGGACACACUUUUUGGAGAAUGAAGCAGCAAUGCUGACUCCACAUAUAAAGGUUGAAGUCGGAUUGUGCUACCUCCCAGUGGUAACCUUUGGAAAUGGCCGUUGUCAUGAUGGUGUCAGCCAAAGCACAAACGCAGUUCAAAUGGCAUUAUUGUUACAACUGUUGAACACACUAUUGACAUAUAUAACAUGAACACGCUGGAUCCCUUGGCAUGCUAGACGAUGAAGAACGUAGCGAGCUGCGAAAUGUGAUGUGAAUUGCAAAUCCAAAGCGAUCUCGUGAAUCAUCAAAUCUUUGAACGCACUGCACCGCCCUUCACGGGAGUGGUACGCCCGAAUGAGCGUCAUAUGACUCUUCAGGCUGGUAUUCUCAACCAUUGGAUUGGUGGACAUUGUGUUACUGCAAACUGUCUUCAAGGAGGUAGCAGAGGUAGCACUUUGUGAGGAUGCCUUGCACUGGUUACGAGAUGCACGGUGAUAGCACUACUGCUGUUGCCAUGUGUCUUUAGAUGCAUUAGCGGAACUGGCACUACUUUACGUCUGCACCGCAGUGUGAUAUGUCUGAUCACUGCUGGGAGUGAAGCAUUCCAGCUGCUUCUAACCUGCCUCUGGGCAAACCCCACUGUUCUCAGUGACACAUGACAAUUGGCCUCACUCGGGUGUGAUGACCCGCUUGAUUUAAGCAUAUUAUUCAGCGGAGGAAAAGAAACU